RNAcentral lists this ribosomal RNA (432 nucleotides) under uncultured bacterium. RNAcentral's name for it is "partial 16S ribosomal RNA". It matches the Rfam family "Bacterial small subunit ribosomal RNA", at positions 355 to 779 of the family's 1533-position model. The record is from RNAcentral.
UAGGGAAUCUUCGGCAAUGGGGGCAACCCUGACCGAGCAACGCCGCGUGAGUGAAGAAGGUUUUCGGAUCGUAAAGCUCUGUUGUAAGUCAAGAACGGGUGUGAGAGUGGAAAGUUCACACUGUGACGGUAGCUUACCAGAAAGGGACGGCUAACUACGUGCCAGCAGCCGCGGUAAUACGUAGGUCCCGAGCGUUGUCCGGAUUUAUUGGGCGUAAAGCGAGCGCAGGCGGUUUGAUAAGUCUGAAGUUAAAGGCUGUGGCUCACCAUAGUUCGCUUUGGAAACUGUCAAACUUGAGUGCAGAAGGGGAGAGUGGAAUUCCAUGUGUAGCGGUGAAAUGCGUAGAUAUAUGGAGGAACACCGGUGGCGAAAGCGGCUCUCUGGUCUGUAACUGACGCUGAGGCUCGAAAGCGUGGGGGAGCGAACAGGAUU